ACCAGUGUGGUAUAGUGGUUUGAGUGUUGGACUAUGACUCUAGAGACCAGGGUUUGAAUCCCAGCUGGGUG
Molecule: transfer RNA, 71 nt
Filed under: Phrynosoma platyrhinos (Desert horned lizard)
Lineage: Eukaryota; Metazoa; Chordata; Lepidosauria; Squamata; Phrynosomatidae
Description: tRNA-OTHER
Source: RNAcentral